This 202-nucleotide unclassified non-coding RNA is filed under the name Hevea brasiliensis (rubber tree). Lineage: Eukaryota; Viridiplantae; Streptophyta; Magnoliopsida; Malpighiales; Euphorbiaceae. The record is from RNAcentral.
AAUCUGUAAACGGGUCUCCAAGAAUACUGGAAUUUGUUACAGAUUUGAAGGAAAAACUCAUGGGUGAGGUCAAAUGGUGUUUUGGAGAGGUUGUUGUGAAGUUUCUGGUCAGAUGAGUACUGUUGCUGGUAGAGAAUCGUAGAAACUCUUAGUAGGUGAGAUUCAUUUACUGGUUUGAUGGGGUUUGGAGAAUGGAGUUGAG